GACGAACGCUGGCGGCGUGCUUAACACAUGCAAGUCGAACGGAAAGGCCCUGCUUUUGUGGGGUGCUCGAGUGGCGAACGGGUGAGUAACACGUGAGUAACCUGCCCUUGACUUUGGGAUAACUUCAGGAAACUGGGGCUAAUACCGGAUAGGAGCUCCUGCUGCAUGGUGGGGGUUGGAAAGUUUCGGCGGUUGGGGAUGGACUCGCGGCUUAUCAGCUUGUUGGUGGGGUAGUGGCUUACCAAGGCUUUGACGGGUAGCCGGCCUGGGAGGGUGACCGGGCACCAUGGGAAUGGGGGACGGCCCAGACUCCUACGGGAGGCAGCAGUGGGGAAUAUUGCACAAUGGGCGGAAGCCUGAUGCAGCAACGCCGCGUGCGGGAUGACGGCCUUCGGGUUGUAAACCGCUUUCGCCUGUGACGAAGCGUGAGUGACGGUAAUGGGUAAAGAAGCACCGGCUAACUACGUG
RNAcentral lists this ribosomal RNA (468 nucleotides) under uncultured bacterium. RNAcentral describes it as "partial 16S ribosomal RNA". It matches the Rfam family "Bacterial small subunit ribosomal RNA", at positions 28 to 507 of the family's 1533-position model. The record is from RNAcentral.